Onychostoma macrolepis is the source of this 2701-nucleotide long non-coding RNA. RefSeq lists it as uncharacterized. NCBI's taxonomy places the organism in Eukaryota, Metazoa, Chordata, Actinopteri, Cypriniformes, Cyprinidae. The record is from RefSeq and is a predicted model, not a curated record. The transcript is spliced from 2 exons.
CCAUUAAUACUCACCCUAGGAUAGGAUGCUUUGGCAGCCCGUUUGACUGAGGCACCACCUACAGGAAACAAAGAGCAGGACACGUCACACAUCUACUGAGCAGCCAGCAGGAACCACAGCACUGUGUUCAGUAUUCCAUGCACAUUCCUACAUCCAGCAGUCACACAGGUCUGAUGUCUAACAGGAAGACAGCCGAUCACACGGAAGAGUCGACUCACCGACAGUCUGGAAACUAGUCCUGCUGGAAACGCGAGUCAAGUUAACCUCAUGUUAAAGAUGCAGGAUAUGGUAUAAAAGCAGACACGUAAGGAAUAAUUGACUUCGGUCCAUUGAAUUAUUAGAAAAAUAAAGCACACCUGAAGUGGUGAUUCACGUCGUGGCCGAAGUCAUAAUUCAACGGACCGAAGUCAAUUAUUCCGCUUAUACUACGGUUGCCACACCUCAAGACAUCGAUCAGAUGAUAUAUUUUCAAGGCAUUCGUCCGGUUUUUCUACUUAAAUCGCUAUUGUGAGUAGGAUUAUUUCUUCCACAUCUCAUCCUCCGUUGCUAAUUCCUAAACAUCAUUUUAAACCUAGUAACGGAGGCUUGAGCCAUUGAUGGCAGACUAAUGCAAUUACUACAGUUAAUAACUAAGUUAUGAGAGAGAGAGAGAUGUACAUGCUUUCCAUACAUAAAGCGUAAUUUUGUGGCAAAACAUGGACAUGAUCUAUCGUUUUUAACCUUUUGUUUACUAUAUUUAUUUGUUUGGCCAGUGUCGUUGUGGGUUUUGGUUAUUUUGCUGCUGGAAGACCUUUGAAAUAACAGAAAUCAUUUGGCGAAGUGAUAUGGUCAUGUAAUGCGGUCAAGAGCUGUCUGGAACUACGUUCGCCGUGUGUUUCCCUGAAAAUAAUUGCACACCUUAGAAUGUUCAUCAGCCAAUCAGAUUCAAGCAUUCAACGGCCCCAUAGUAUAAGAUCUGAUAGCGCACAUCAGGUGUGAGUGUCUGCUACAAACAGGGAGUCUUUCAUAUACGCCGUCCAAGGACUUUGUGUGCAAAUACAUCUCUCAGUCACUGUCAUAUGCAAAACACAUGCAUCAGAAGUAUUAGUAAUAUGCAAAACCAUACUCAAAAUAGCACGCAUGCACAUUUAAAAGCAGAUAUUAAAACACACUGCAAUGUGUUUCUGGAUGCUUGUUUACUAACUCGUGUCAAGAGUCCACCCACAAGUCUUUAUGAUAUGCUGGCCUCAAGAUAUGACUUCAGUCCAGGGCUGCAUGAUUAGUCAGAAUAAAACCGAAAUCGUGAUAUGGCUUGGUGCGAUUACAAAAUCACAGAGGCUGUGAUUUAAUUAAAUAAAUACAUGUGCUGCGGGUUUCAGAAAGAAGCACACUUCUUUUACAUGUGAGCAGCUCAUGAUCCAGUGUUUUUAGUGUCUCUACAUGUGCUCUGAUUUUGGGAAAAGCAACUUGUCAAAAAUCAUCCCAAACUUGCAAGGAGAAGCGCUUAUAAACCGGUUGUUGCAUGACUAUAUAUAAAAUCUCUUGAUACAAGUCUGUGGGAUGUUUUCCUCUUUUUAUCGUUGCCCAGUUGAAAAUAGUCUAACAAGCCACACAGUUUAAGGUAUUGCCCAUGUGCGUAGCACAAACAGAGCAAUAUGAAGUUUAGUGGUUUGCUAAAAUCAUAACCCUUAAUAUGAGCAACAGUAACAGAAAUACUUGUGUACGAUUCAUAACAAUGAGUGCAGGACUGAGAUCUGAGCACUGAGCUGGUCUCUCCACUAGAGGGCAGCUGUGCACCGCAGUAUACGUACACAGGAAAGAGAUGCCUCUUGAUUUAGUUAGUGGGCAUCUGGCAUCAUAAUGGUCCACUGCUGUCGUCCAGCUGUGCAUAUUCACAACAUGGCCGUAUAUCAUAUCUAUCUGGUUAGACCUGCCACUUCGUGUGGCCUGAAAGCCAAUUUUCCCAACCUAAAUACUGAUCUUAUCCAUCCCGCAUAACAUAUAGGAAGACUAGUUCAGAUGUUUUCUAAUGUCACAGGCUCUUUCAUGCAUAGUGUCACUAUUUGCAUUCUUUUGAGAUUCACAUCUAUUGUCUUGUAUCAGAUUCUGCUCUUUUCUUUCUCUCUCUCUCUCUCUCUCUCUCAAGCAAACAGAAAACCAGGUAGGGAGCAUUUUUCACACAAUGCCUUCACCUGUGAGUGUUCAGGACCCGUCCUCCCCCCACCCUGACCGAUAAAACACAUUGUCUGUGGAAAAACACAGCCUCCGCUUCUUUUGAACAGGACAAUCUCCUUUCCUGCUUGACAUCAUCUAAUACAAGAGUGUCCACAUUUACCCCGGCUUUCCAGGGCGGAGAGACGAGCUUUGCUUGAGUAAUUGCAUGGCAUGAGUCCCUUGUUCGCCACAGCGAUGAGCCAACCCUCGGCAGGGAGGACAGGUGCCGAACAACAGGGCUUCACACCUACAGAUCUGGCUCCUGUACUUCUAUUGUGUGCACAAUAUAUCAGGAGGUGAGCUUUUGCUUCCGGCGGGGUAAAUGAAUGGGUGGAUUUGCUAGCAGGUUUCAGAUUGAAGUCCGUGUGGAAUUCCAUCAGAAAGGUCGAGCCGUGGCCUGGAUGUGCGUGUGUGACGGGAGGCGGGGGCGGGAGGUGGAGGAGCGAUGAAUAUUUCACCAGGUCCAGAGAGAGGAGUAUCCAGUUUCACAGCCUGGCCAUUGACACCC